CAGGCCUAACACAUGCAAGUCGAACGAAGGCUUCGGCCUUAGUGGCGCACGGGUGCGUAACGCGUGGGAAUCUGCCCUUGGGUUCGGAAUAACAGCGGGAAACUGCUGCUAAUACCGGAUGAUGACGUAAGUCCAAAGAUUUAUCGCCCAAGGAUGAGCCCGCGUAGGAUUAGCUAGUUGGUGGGGUAAAGGCCCACCAAGGCGACGAUCCUUAGCUGGUCUGAGAGGAUGAUCAGCCACACUGGGACUGAGACACGGCCCAGACUCCUACGGGAGGCAGCAGUGGGGAAUAUUGGACAAUGGGCGCAAGCCUGAUCCAGCCAUGCCGCGUGAGUGAUGAAGGCCUUAGGGUUGUAAAGCUCUUUUACCCGGGAUGAUAAUGACAGUACCGGGAGAAUAAGCUCCGGCUAACUCCGUGCCAGCAGCCGCGGUAAU
Molecule: ribosomal RNA, 435 nt
Filed under: uncultured bacterium
Lineage: Bacteria
Description: bacterial SSU rRNA
Rfam family: Bacterial small subunit ribosomal RNA
Source: RNAcentral